This 83-nucleotide non-coding RNA is filed under the name Buchananella hordeovulneris. Its description in RNAcentral is "Actinomyces hordeovulneris SAM-I sequence". It matches the Rfam family "SAM riboswitch aptamer (S box leader)". From Rfam's summary of the family: The SAM riboswitch is found upstream of a number of genes which code for proteins involved in methionine or cysteine biosynthesis in Gram-positive bacteria. Lineage: Bacteria; Bacillati; Actinomycetota; Actinomycetes; Actinomycetales; Actinomycetaceae. The record is from Rfam by way of RNAcentral.
CUCACCAUCCAGAGCGACCGAGAGACCUGGCUCGAUGACGUCGCAGCAACCCCGGAGGGUGCUUCCGCCAGGACCGAUGGGAG